This 441-nucleotide ribosomal RNA is filed under the name Anatololacerta sp. CI-2014a. Its description in RNAcentral is "partial 16S ribosomal RNA". It matches the Rfam family "Archaeal large subunit ribosomal RNA", at positions 2036 to 2673 of the family's 2987-position model. The record is from RNAcentral. Lineage: Eukaryota; Metazoa; Chordata; Lepidosauria; Squamata; Lacertidae.
GCAUAAUCACUUGUCCCUUAAAUCGGGACUGGAAUGAACGGCUAAAUUAGGACUAAACUGUCUCUUACAGGCCAGCCAAUGAAAUUGAUUUUCCAGUACAAAAGCUGGGAUACACCCACAAGACGAGAAGACCCUGUGGAGCUUACAAACCAAAUUCACCAAACAUGUCUAUCGGUUUUCAGUUGGGGCGACUUCGGAGUACAAAAUAACCUCCAAACAUAAAACUAAUUAAGAACAACAUAUCAAAGUAUAAUUAUAAUGACCCAGCAACCUUCUGGUUGUCUGACUAAUGAACCAAGUUACCCCAGGGAUAACAGCGCCAUCCCCUUCUAGAGUCCCUAUCGACAAGGGGGUUUACGACCUCGAUGUUGGAUCAGGACACCCCAAUGGUGCAGCCGCCAUUAACGGUUCGUUUGUUCAACGAUUAAAGUCCAACGUGAU